AUGCUCUAUAGAUGAUGAGAAGGUGUUCAAAUAAUAUAUCUUUAGAAAUCAACUCCCUUUUGGGGUUGAAUCGGGGGAUGGUGGAUUGACUCACUCAUCACGAAAUCUCCGAAACUAUAACAGCCACAAAUUUGACAUUUGGCAGGUUGGUUUCUUAUAGGGCGUACAUACCUGCUAAGAACGGAUUUUACGAAACUCGACCCCUAAGGAGAUAAAACGGGGGUUGGAAAUUUGUAUGAAAGUUCUAUGUCUUUGAAGUAAGAGACUUGAAAUUUAAAAUAUAUGCUCUAUAGAUGGUGAG
RNAcentral lists this unclassified non-coding RNA (301 nucleotides) under Melitaea cinxia (Glanville fritillary). Its description in RNAcentral is "misc RNA ENSMCXG00005011899.1". The record is from RNAcentral. Lineage: Eukaryota; Metazoa; Arthropoda; Insecta; Lepidoptera; Nymphalidae.